Molecule: ribosomal RNA, 492 nt
Filed under: uncultured bacterium
Lineage: Bacteria
Description: partial 16S ribosomal RNA
Rfam family: Bacterial small subunit ribosomal RNA
Source: RNAcentral
AGUGAACGCUGGCGGUAGGCCUAACACAUGCAAGUCGAACGGCAGCACAGUAAGAGCUUGCUCUUACGGGUGGCGAGUGGCGGACGGGUGAGGAAUACAUCGGAAUCUACUUUUUCGUGGGGGAUAACGUAGGGAAACUUACGCUAAUACCGCAUACGACCUACGGGUGAAAGCAGGGGAUCUUCGGACCUUGCGCGAUUGAAUGAGCCGAUGUCGGAUUAGCUGGUUGGCGGGGUAAAGGCCCACCAAGGCGACGAUCCGUAGCUGGUCUGAGAGGAUGGUCGGCCACACUGGAACUGAGACACGGUCCAGACUCCUACGGGAGGCAGCAGUGGGGAAUAGGGGACAAUGGGCGCAAGCCUUAUCCAGCCAUACCGCGUGGGUGAAGAAGGCCUUCGGGUUGUAAAGCCCUUUUGUUGGGAAAGAAAAGCAGCAGGUUAAUACCCCGCUGUUCUGACGGUACCCAAAGAAUAAGCACCGGCUAACUUCGUG